This is a non-coding RNA of Schistosoma mattheei, 45 nucleotides long. NCBI's taxonomy places the organism in Eukaryota, Metazoa, Platyhelminthes, Trematoda, Strigeidida, Schistosomatidae. The record is from Rfam.
AUCCAGACGAUGAGUCGCAAUCAGGACAAAACGCGUGUCCUGCAU